UACGUAGGGUGCAAGCGUUGUCCGGAAUUAUUGGGCGUAAAGAGCUCGUAGGCGGUCUGUUGCGUCGGCUGUGAAAACCUGGGGCUCAACCCCGGGCCUGCAGCCGAUACGGGCAAACUAGAAUUCGGUAGGGGAGACUGGAAUUCCUGGUGUAGCGGUGAAAUGCGCAGAUAUCAGGAGGAACACCGGUGGCGAAGGCGGGUCUCUGGGCCGAUAUUGACGCUGAGGAGCGAAAGCGUGGGGAGCGAACAGG
This 253-nucleotide ribosomal RNA is filed under the name uncultured bacterium. Its description in RNAcentral is "partial 16S ribosomal RNA". It matches the Rfam family "Bacterial small subunit ribosomal RNA", at positions 524 to 776 of the family's 1533-position model. The record is from RNAcentral.